AACGAACGCUGGCGGCAGGCCUAACACAUGCAAGUCGAGCGCGCCCUUCGGGGUGAGCGGCGGACGGGUGAGUAACGCGUGGGAACGUGCCCUUUUCUACGGAAUAGCCUCGGGAAACUGAGAGUAAUACCGUAUACGCCCUUUGGGGGAAAGAUUUAUCGGAAAAGGAUCGGCCCGCGUUGGAUUAGGUAGUUGGUGGGGUAAUGGCCUACCAAGCCGACGAUCCAUAGCUGGUUUGAGAGGAUGAUCAGCCACACUGGGACUGAGACACGGCCCAGACUCCUACGGGAGGCAGCAGUGGGGAAUCUUAGACAAUGGGGGCAACCCUGAUCUAGCCAUGCCGCGUGAGUGAUGAAGGCCUUAGGGUUGUAAAGCUCUUUCAGCUGGGAAGAUAAUGACGGUACCAGCAGAAGAAGUCCCGGCUAACUCCGUG
RNAcentral lists this ribosomal RNA (433 nucleotides) under uncultured bacterium. RNAcentral's name for it is "partial 16S ribosomal RNA". It matches the Rfam family "Bacterial small subunit ribosomal RNA", at positions 29 to 507 of the family's 1533-position model. The record is from RNAcentral.